GACGAACGCUGGCGGCGUGCUUAACACAUGCAAGUCGAACGGUGAACGAGGGAGCUUGCUCCCUCCGGAUCAGUGGCGAACGGGUGAGUAACACGUGAGCAAUCUGCCCCGAACUCUGGGAUAAGCGUUGGAAACGACGUCUAAUACCGGAUACGACGCGGGAGGGCAUCCUCUCCGCGUGGAAAGAACUUCGGUUCGGGAUGAGCUCGCGGCCUAUCAGCUUGUUGGUGAGGUAACGGCUCACCAAGGCGACGACGGGUAGCCGGCCUGAGAGGGUGACCGGCCACACUGGGACUGAGAAACGGCCCAGACUCCUACGGGGGGCAGCAGUGGGGAAUAUUGCACAAUGGGCGCAAGCCUGAUGCAGCAACGCCGCGUGAGGGACGACGGCCUUCGGGUUGUAAACCUCUUUUAGCAGGGAAGAAGCGAAAGUGACGGUACCUGCAGAAAAAGCACCGGCUAACUACGUG
Molecule: ribosomal RNA, 470 nt
Filed under: uncultured bacterium
Lineage: Bacteria
Description: partial 16S ribosomal RNA
Rfam family: Bacterial small subunit ribosomal RNA
Source: RNAcentral